Molecule: ribosomal RNA, 460 nt
Filed under: uncultured bacterium
Lineage: Bacteria
Description: partial 16S ribosomal RNA
Rfam family: Bacterial small subunit ribosomal RNA
Source: RNAcentral
CCUACGGGUGGCAGCAGUGAGGAAUAUUGGUCAAUGGACGAGAGUCUGAACCAGCCAAGUAGCGUGAAGGAUGACUGCCCUAUGGGUUGUAAACUUCUUUUAUAUGGGAAUAAAAUGUUCCACGUGUGGGAUUUUGUAUGUACCAUAUGAAUAAGGAUCGGCUAACUCCGUGCCAGCAGCCGCGGUAAUACGGAGGAUCCGAGCGUUAUCCGGAUUUAUUGGGUUUAAAGGGGGCGUAGGUGGUUUGUUAAGUCAGUUGUGAAAGUUUGGGGCUCAACCGUAAAAGUGCAGUUGAAACUGGCAGUCUUGAGUACAGGAGAGGUGGGCGGAAUUCGUGGUGUAGCGGUGAAAUGCUUAGAUAUCACGAAGAACUCCGAUUGCGAAGGCAGUUCACUGGACUGCAACUGACACUGAGGCUCGAAAGUGUGGGUAUCAAACAGGAUUAGAUACCCGGGUAGUC